ACUGGCUAUUUUGAAAGUAUCUUUAUGACUCUGCAAUUUUAUGCCUACUCUGUGUUCUACUCUUCAAUUCAAGUAGAUGUCUUAGAUGUAGCGCCAACAAGUGUUUUUCACUUCCUCGGUCCAUGCAUUUAAUUGCCAAUCUGCAGAGUCUGGCUACAUGUUGAGCCGAUCUGCCACACCUGAAAGAAAUAUGAAUUUCCUUCGGAAAUAACUUGUGUUCCUCAAUAGGCUUUGCUCUAAAACCUCUACUUUAGAGGAUGAUACUUUUUAUGUAUCAAGCAUUGCUUUCCAGGGCUUUCCACUGUCUUGGCAGUGAGGGAGCGUGUAACAAAAAGGGAACUUGAAAAAAAUUGACCAACGUCAUCAUUCAAACAGACACCUGGACAAUCCUGCGACUAAAAUUCCACUGGCAGCGUUUUAGGACUUCGUGGCUGACUCCUUUUUGCUUCUUGUGCCUCCAGCUAGUCCUUCGUUUAAGAUGACCACCACUUCCCUUCCUCCCGAAGGGAGAGGCAUCAGCCCCAACCUGUCCGCCUGUCGAGAGUCUCAGUGUAACAACCAUGGUAACUGUGUGACUCCUCCUGGUGGUGGUACAGAUCUACUAUGCAACUGUGAUCUGGGCUACAAGGGUGACUCCUGCGGGGAAACGGUCAAUGGAGCGCUAGGUUUACCUUUGACCCUCAGCGUGUUAGGCGUCCUCAUUGGCCUCGCAAUCCUGGCAUUUGUCCUUGCCAAGUACCAGCAGAGAAAACGGAAGCAGCGAAGGAAACUACUGGAACAAAAAGCCUAAAACAGUGCUGCUUAACGUGGAUAACUGUCGAACAGAACGUUUGACCUACUUUGAUGAUCAAAUUGUGGCUACUAUAAGAAUUAUUCUGCAGCAUCCUGGAGACUCUAGCACCAACUUCACAAACUGAGUGCCAAGGCAUAUGGGAGAGUCGCUUCCUAUAUAGUAUUUUUCCAUUUAUAUAAAUGUAUCCAUCUCCAGCUGCGUCGUAUCGCAAGCCUCAUGCUUAUUAAACUUGUGCCUCAUCUCGGAAAACAACAAGACUGGAUAAUUCUGUUGACCUAAUUUUAAACUUGGAGUGAAAAUGUCUGUAUUCUAAUCAGCAGCAGCUUCCUUGAUCACAUUUCUUGGAUGCUAAGGCAUGCUUCUGCAAUUAGUUUAAACUCUGACACUUGUUAGUAAAUUAAUGUAAAUGUUCAUCCUCUGUGAGGGAGCUGCAGUUUAGUUUAAGUAAAGCAAGUGGUUGUUAUUUUUCUAGUGACGGCUUCUAACAGAGAUAACACUUAAGAUAACUCUAGAUUGUUUAACGGGCUAAGUCAGAAGCUGAUUUGAUGCCAUACAGUUUUUAUAAAAAUUUAUGUAGAAAAUAUGCACUUUUUUUCCACUCGCGUGGGUUUAUUUCAUUUCAUUCAGUACAUACUUUUGUACCGUGUGCAGUUGCUGCCUGUUUUGUAUUGUUCCCCUGGAAUUUCUUUCUUCUAAGCGUGUGUGCGCGCCUUUUAACACUUCAGGUUUUUCGGGAAGUAUUUCUACCUAUUUCUAAGUUCCCUGUCUUUGAUGCUGUUGUAACAAAAAUGCACCAGUACAUCACUGGCCUGCUUUUACUCUCAUAUACGGCUAUGCUUAUGAAAAUAAUGCAUGUAAAUCUGUGCAGACACAAUCCUGCAGAGCUGUCAACAACAUGCGCAUAUUGUACAGAUGAUAGGAGAGUGGUCAGAGCAGAUUUCAAUCUUGGCAUGUUUAAAACUUGACAGUACAUGUGCUUUUAAAUGAGUUCGUGUGCUCUUUGAAUUUCAGCCUACAAACUGAUUACCACUCAGUACACUUCUGGUCCUUGCAGGGCGUCACAGUGUUUUAUCACUCAGGGUAGGCUGUCUUUGAGCCCCUGUUACAGUAAACCUCUUUUUCUGGCAUCCAGUGACAUGAUAAUAUCAGGUUCGGUGUUUACUAAACUCAGACAUGAUGGCUGUGAACAUUCAAUCCUCACAGGCUGAGAACCUAACCAGUUUUGCCAUAUAAUAAGAUGUGUAACAACAAAAAAGUGGAAGCAUCUGCCUUCAGGGUAUAACUAGGUCAACACUUGCUGUCCUAAUAAGGGACAGACUUUGCAUGCUUGUUUGCAGAAGGAGGAGCUACUUGUAUCAUGGCAAUUAGAAGUACAUCCCACAAGUAUAACUACUCAAGAUUACACAAAUUCCUCAUGAGUCGGCUUUUGGCUGUAUGGUCAGCCACUGUAUGCAGGAAAUGAGGAUAUUGUUUAUUAGACUCAUCAGACUGAUUUGAACCUAAAUGCUGGGAGCAGUAACACAAGACGGUACUAUUACUGUAUCCAUCACUUGGUGGUGUUAAUAAGCUGUCAGGGUAGUUCAACAUCUAGCUCAUAGAAGAGGAGCAAGCGUAACACUUUUAAAUGUUGCAAAUGCAACGUUUCACCAAACAUGAGCAAACACAGCCUGUUUCUGUGCAGUUUGUCACACUAUGCCUGCAAGCCAAACAUACAGCUGCUGUACUUCAGUGAAAGAUAGAAAUGAGAGAUGGCUUCACUGAGAGAGAGAGAGGAUAUAAGAAAGCCAGGACAAACAAGGAAGGAGUAAGGACAGUUCAGCUUAUAACAUCCCAAUUCUUUUUAGAGUUAUUUGAUCAGAUAUUGGAUCUAUGAACAGGAACUUUUAUUCAACUGUUAUUUAAAGGUAUAAAAAUACUGGGACAUUUAGUGCAGGCCACACUGAGUUUAAAGGGCUUUGGUAAAGUUUAAAUCGCUAUAUGGGUCUAGUGCAGUGAGGUUUUCAUGAGUUAAUGUUAGGCUACAUGAAGGGUGCUUCACAUCAAAUGAAAUUUAAGCUGAUUGAUCAAAUUCUACCUUUUAACCAGCUUUAUACUGUCUAUCGGUGGGAAAUCAGGCAUAUAACAUGUGCUUGCAUCCUUUGUUUUUGUUUUUUUGUUUUUUGUAUUCAUGCAAGCACAGCAUAUGUGCUUGCAUGAAUUUUCCUGUUUAAUUGUGGAGGGGCAAGCUCACCCAUCUGUACCUGACAGAGCAAUUUUUAAAAAAAUUUCCUUUGUUGUUCUCUGCGUGUGCUCUAUAUCACGGAUGCUCAAGCUGUGGGAAUUAUUUAAAAGUAGCAUUUCAGUUAGAAUAAACUUCAGUCCCUCCUGUUAACGUUAUUUUGUCAUUAUAUUAGUUCAAAAGGUUAAGUUAACAUGGGGGGGGGCUCGUUUUUUCUUCUGUGCUUUGAGUACAUUUCAGAGACUGUGCUUUUUCAACUUUUAAGUAAAGCAGUUAAAUUGCCACUUCCACUUUUGCCAGAGUACUUUUCAACACAAGUAUUUCAACUCAAGUAAUGUGAGUGUGUACUUUUGCCAUCUCUGCUGCACUUUGAAAAUUUGUCUCCAAAAGUUCUGUUUAUCGGGAUGUAGCGUUUUGUGGAAGAAAAUUUGUCUUUUUACAGGGAAGUUCCUGAAUUUUACAUUUAAUUCAAAUGGAUUUAAUAAAAAAAAAUAAAAAGUGGAGGAAAGACAUUGAA
RNA transcript from Maylandia zebra (zebra mbuna), 3528 nucleotides. RefSeq lists it as uncharacterized. Lineage: Eukaryota; Metazoa; Chordata; Actinopteri; Cichliformes; Cichlidae. The record is from RefSeq and is a predicted model, not a curated record.